GGCGGGAAAACAGGAUGUCUUCCAUUUGGAAGCCCCUUUGCUUCUAAGAAGUUCCAGAGACCAACCCAGGCCCACAGAGUUAUAAGGAUUCAUCUGGGUACUGAAGACAUUUGGGACCUCAGUGAAGUUUCUCCGAGGCCAGAUGGUCACAUUGAUUUUCUGAAAUCAUUUUGAAUAAAAAUGACCGAGGUGGUGAACACAAUGCAAGGCUUUCCACGUACUGUCUGGUAUUGUUCAACCAGCUCCAUGACUCCCUGAGGGCAGAGAUGAGCAGAUGUUAAUGGAUAAAGCCAGGUGGGAUGAUGUUAUAACAUUUCUCCUAUAGCCCCAAAUCUCCCAACUCCUGCAUGUGUGACCUGAGUAAGACUCAGUGCAAGAAGACAUCGGUGUUCCCAUCUGUGAAAUGAAGGAAUUCACCCCCCAGGAUCUUCCAUUUCUGACAAUGCUUUGGAUUUCCUUGGUUUUGUCACAGGUACCCCCCAAAAGCCUCCAUCUUUGGAUAAGUGAUUAAAACUGCUGAGUAAUUUUCAAUCAAUAAAAGUUCAGUGCUGGCUCUCUCA
RNAcentral lists this small RNA (560 nucleotides) under Pongo abelii (Sumatran orangutan). Its description in RNAcentral is "processed transcript". The record is from RNAcentral. Lineage: Eukaryota; Metazoa; Chordata; Mammalia; Primates; Hominidae.